This 400-nucleotide ribosomal RNA is filed under the name uncultured bacterium. RNAcentral's name for it is "bacterial SSU rRNA". It matches the Rfam family "Bacterial small subunit ribosomal RNA", at positions 355 to 772 of the family's 1533-position model. The record is from RNAcentral.
UGGGGAAUAUUGGACAAUGGGCGAAAGCCUGAUCCAGCCAUGCCGCGUGAGUGAUGAAGGCCUUAGGGUUGUAAAGCUCUUUUGGCGGGGAAGAUAAUGACGGUACCCGCAGAAUAAGUUCCGGCUAACUUCGUGCCAGCAGCCGCGGUAAUACGAAGGGAACUAGCGUUGUUCGGAAUCACUGGGCGUAAAGGGCGCGUAGGCGGACUGUCAAGUCAGGGGUGAAAUCCCAAGGCUCAACCUUGGAAUUGCCUUUGAAACUGUCAGUCUGGAGUGCAUGAGGGGAUAGCGGAAUUCCAAAUGUAGCAGUGAAAUGCGUAGAUAUUUGGAGGAACACCGGUGGCGAAGGCGGCUAUCUGGCAUGCAACUGACGCUGAGGCGCGAAAGCGUGGGGAUCAAA